Molecule: ribosomal RNA, 497 nt
Filed under: uncultured bacterium
Lineage: Bacteria
Description: partial 16S ribosomal RNA
Rfam family: Bacterial small subunit ribosomal RNA
Source: RNAcentral
GAUGAACGCUGGCGGCGUGCCUAAUACAUGCAAGUCGAGCGAACAGACGAGGAGCUUGCUCCUUCGACGUUAGCGGCGGACGGGUGAGUAACACGUAGGUAACCUACCUAUAAGACUGGGAUAACUUCGGGAAACCGGAGCUAAUACCGGAUAAUAUUUCGAACCGCAUGGUUCGAUAGUGAAAGAUGGCUUUGCUAUCACUUAUAGAUGGACCUGCGCCGUAUUAGCUAGUUGGUAAGGUAACGGCUUACCAAGGCAACGAUACGUAGCCGACCUGAGAGGGUGAUCGGCCACACUGGAACUGAGACACGGUCCAGACUCCUACGGGAGGCAGCAGUAGGGAAUCUUCCGCAAUGGGCGAAAGCCUGACGGAGCAACGCCGCGUGAGUGAUGAAGGUCUUCGGAUCGUAAAACUCUGUUAUUAGGGGAGAACAAACGUGUAAGUAACUGUGCACGUCUUGACGGUACCUAAUCAGAAAGCCACGGCUAACUACGUG